GGUAGCACCCGAAUCAAUGAUCCAUUUGGACAUGGCAGCCAUAGACGUGCCUUCACUUGCCAUGAAUGCAUAAUCAUCUCCACCAACUUCAUCACAUGCAUUGGUAGCAUUUUUUCUAUCUCCUUUCUUGGCCCGUGUAGCAAUUUCGUGCAAAAUGACCCGGUUUUCCACAAAUGAAGCAAGUUCUUGCAUUUCUUUUCACAUUGUCACGUUGG
RNAcentral lists this long non-coding RNA (215 nucleotides) under Physcomitrium patens. RNAcentral's name for it is "long non-coding RNA (PPAT_LNC003033)". Lineage: Eukaryota; Viridiplantae; Streptophyta; Bryopsida; Funariales; Funariaceae. The record is from RNAcentral.